Molecule: long non-coding RNA, 747 nt
Organism: Mercenaria mercenaria
Lineage: Eukaryota; Metazoa; Mollusca; Bivalvia; Venerida; Veneridae
Exons: 4
Source: RefSeq, a predicted model, not a curated record
UAAGAUUUCGUGCUACACGUUGUGAUAACAAAGAUACUAGUCAGUAUGUAUAUUUACAAGAUGUUUAUCAUUUCCUCAAACUAAUGGACACUAACUUAUGUUACAAACUGAGAGAAUCUACUGGAAUUUAUUAAUUUUGUAAAUUAGGAUGCCAAUAAAAAUUGAUUAACCUAAAAUGUGUAAACUACAAUGUAUACAUGUACGUACUCUAAAGGGUGAUUUCUGAUAAAAAAUUUACGGAUUUGUCGAAGAUAAUUUAUGCAGAAUCACAAGAACUUUUCAAUCUAUCUUGGCUUUUUGUGCAUGGACUGUUUUUGGAAGUGUUCACAUGCUAGUUCAACAACAUAAAGGAUUCAGAUUGAUUGGUUACGGAGGCGCUGUGCAAUGCGCAUUUCAGAAGAGGUCAAUAACGUCAUUGACGUGCGGCGAUCUUUGUUACCAUGCCGUCUGUGAAUGCCGAUAUCUCUGAUCUUCCUCCAUCAUCUUUGUAAUAACAGCGGCUAUGUAACAUUAGUUCGUCAUAUCAACAAUUUAUCUUGUAUUUCAUCAGCCACUUUUCAUAGGAAUCAGACCCCAGAAACUCAGACAAGAAAUGAUAUUUUGAAAUUUAAAGUAAAUUAAAGACAAAAUUCACAGCGCAUUCUGUUCCUUAAUACUGCUGUGUACCCGACAGUCAAGUUUCCGUAUGUCAUGCACGUGUACGUAAUGUUUAAAGUAACCCAAAAGUCGAAUCUUUUCAUUUUCAUC